This 433-nucleotide ribosomal RNA is filed under the name uncultured bacterium. RNAcentral's name for it is "partial 16S ribosomal RNA". It matches the Rfam family "Bacterial small subunit ribosomal RNA", at positions 29 to 507 of the family's 1533-position model. The record is from RNAcentral.
AACGAACGCUGGCGGCCUGCCUAACACAUGCCAGUCGAACGCAACGUUCGGGAGCCGUGGCCUACGGGUGCGUCCCGCGUUGGAACCUGCCCUUAGGUUCCGAAUAACUCCCCGAAAGGGGUGCUAAUACCGGCUAAUCUCUUCGGACCAAAGAUUUAUCGCCUUUGGAUGGGCCCGCGUUGGAUUAGCUAGUUGGUAGUGUAAAAGCCUACCAAGGCGACGAUCCAUAGCUGGUCUGAGAGGAUGAUCAGCCACACUGGGACUGAGAAACGGCCCAGACUCUUACGGGAGGAAGCAGCUGGGAAUAUUGGAAAACGGGCGAAAGACUGACCCUGCAAGGCAGCGUGAGUGAUGAAGGCCUUAGGGUGGUAAAGCUCUUGUACCCGUGAUGAUAAUGACAGUACCGGGUGAAUAGGCUACGGCUAACUCCGUG